AGCGAACGCUGGCGGCAGGCCUAACACAUGCAAGUCGAACGGAUCCUUCGGGAUUAGUGGCGGACGGGUGAGUAACACGUGGGAACGUGCCUUUUGGUUCGGAACAACGCAGAGAAAUUUGCGCUAAUACCGAAUGUGCCCUUCGGGGAAAGAUUUAUCGCCAUUAGAGCGGCCCGCGUCUGAUUAGCUAGUUGGUGAGGUAAAGGCUCACCAAGGCUACGAUCAGUAGCUGGUCUGAGAGGAUGAUCAGCCACAUUGGGACUGAGACACGGCCCAAACUCCUACGGGAGGCAGCAGUGGGGAAUCUUGCGCAAUGGGCGAAAGCCUGACGCAGCCAUGCCGCGUGAAUGAUGAAGGUCUUAGGAUUGUAAAAUUCUUUCACCGGGGACGAUAAUGACGGUACCCGGAGAAGAAGCCCCGGCUAACUUCGUG
Molecule: ribosomal RNA, 432 nt
Filed under: uncultured bacterium
Lineage: Bacteria
Description: bacterial SSU rRNA
Rfam family: Bacterial small subunit ribosomal RNA
Source: RNAcentral